RNAcentral lists this ribosomal RNA (494 nucleotides) under uncultured bacterium. RNAcentral describes it as "partial 16S ribosomal RNA". It matches the Rfam family "Bacterial small subunit ribosomal RNA", at positions 28 to 507 of the family's 1533-position model. The record is from RNAcentral.
GACGAACGCUGGCGGCGUGCUUAACACAUGCAAGUCGAACGGUGAAGCGCCUUCCUUUUUGGUGGGUGUGGAUGAGUGGCGAACGGGUGAGUAACACGUGAGUAACCUGCCCCCUUCUUCUGGAUAACCGCAUGAAAGUGUGGCUAAUACGGGAUAUUCUGUGUCUGUCGCAUGAUGGGUCUGGGGAAGAUAUUGUUUCGGAGGGGGAUGGGAUCGCGGCCUAUCAGGUUGUUGGUGGGGUGGUGGCCUACCAAGGCGGUGACGGGUAGCCGGCCUGGGAGGGUGGACGGUCAUAGAGGGAAGAAGACAUGGCGAAGACUCCGACAGGCGGCAGCGGUGGAUAAUAGUGAACAGUGGGCGGAAGGCUGAUGCAGCGACGCGGCGGGGGAGAUGGAGGCCGGCGUGUUGAGAACCUCUGUCGCGAGUGAAGCGGACCUGCCUCGUUUGUGGGUGGGUUGACGGUAGCUAGAGAAGAAGCGCCGGCUAACUACGUG